Molecule: long non-coding RNA, 2637 nt
Organism: Panicum hallii
Lineage: Eukaryota; Viridiplantae; Streptophyta; Magnoliopsida; Poales; Poaceae
Exons: 2
Source: RefSeq, a predicted model, not a curated record
CCGUCGUCGUACGUCGCCCCCCGCUCGUUCCAUCAUCCCGCCGCUGGACAAUCUGAGCCGCGUGAUAUUCCCGCAUCGCCGCUCGCCAAAAUCAACCGCCUUGCCCAUCGCGCCGCGCCCCACGCCCUUCCCUUCGCCGCGCCGCCGCCGCCAAGCGCGCCGCAGAUCCGCUAUCUCCCCGCCGCGACUCGUGCCGUGGUGCCCGCCGCCACGGAUCCGCGACCUCCCCGCCCCGACUCCCGCAGCGGCUGCGGAGCCACCGCCGCCAUCCAUCGACCCAUCGCGCGAACACGCCGCCGCCGCCAUCCGUCGUCUCAUCGCGCGAACACGCCGGAUCUGCUGCCGUUCGUCAUCCCCAUCGCGCGAACAUGCCGAGCAGAGGGCUCGACCAUCGACCGGCUGCGCCGUCCCCUACCCCCUAUCUUUUCCCCAACGAGUUCCGUCCGACCUUUCUUGAUCUCAAGAGGGUUCUUACAGGUACCCACGUAAGAAACCAUGGCUUGCCUGUGUGCGUGUGUGCAGGCACCCACAAAGCCAUGGCUGCCAUGAAGGAUUCAGAACUCGGAGGCAAAUCAGGUAUCCAGGUUGGUCACGGCAAGGGCAUGGCAAGGGGAAGAAAGGGAAAAAAAUGGAGAGGAAGAAAAUAUCAUGACCUAUACUGAACCAAAAUAAUUUCCGUCAUUUAAGGUUGGCUUAGGAUGGAAAAUUAGGGGUAAUUUGAUCUAAAAUUCUUUCUAUUCACAAGGAUAGCUGCAAUACAGUAUUUUAAGACAGCAGUUCUGAUGGAUUUUUGGUCAAACAGUUUCAUGGUAUUACAUGGUAUACUAAUACUCUGAUUUGGUAGAAUAGUAUGCAUAGUAGUAGAGAUUUUGAUGUGAUCUAGGGCAUGACUUGACAAUUAUUUGAAUAUACCAUAGUUUGUUGUAAAACAUUUUCUAUUCGACUAUUGGAGGACAUUGCAAUAAGUCACUUGGUCGGCUAACUUUGUCUUUCAUGGGGCUCUAGAGAUAUGAAAUAGUGAAGCUGGUCAAAUGAUGAGAGCAAAUAAUAAAUCAGGAAAUGCAACUAUGGAAGAGCAAUGGUUUCAUUUAUUCUGUUAUUUUUUUUCUUUCAAAAUAGCAUCAGGUCAAAGCAACCAGUGAGCAAGCACAAUUGGGGAGCCAAAUUUACAUUUUGCAUUUCACUUUUACCAUAUUGACUUGUGCUUUUCUUUUGCUGUGAUAUGCUCUGCAGUAAAAGCUAGAUUGUUUUUUAUGUCUGCUACAGUGCAUUCAUUUUAUUUGUCAUUCGUGUGUUACAAUUUUUGAUACAGUGAUGUCCAUGCUCUAUUUAUGUAGGUACACUGAAACUAAUUAGUCCAAGUAGAGAUAUGGUAAAUCAGUUUAACAUCUGAAAUAGUUGCAGAACUACUAAACUAAGUUUAAUAUCUUUCAAAAUUAUUUGGUGAUCUGCAUCUUUCUGGUAUAUCAGGCAUAAACAAAAAUGUGCAUAAGUAUCAGUGGUUAUUUACUCUAAUAACUAAGCUAAUUCUUUUCAUGUGAUUUGAGUUGAAUUAUGAUAUAGUUUCUCAAGUUUUACUAUAGUCAUUAAAGUCGAAUCAAGUUGUGGUAUAUUUAUUGACUUUGUUCCUUGAGUCAAUAACUAAGGAUGUUGACAAAUGCAGGGGAAAAAAUUUAGUUCCCCUUUCAGCUCAUGAGGGCACAAAAGGAGUAGUGGUAGAGGCAGGACCACUCCUGCAGCACAUAUCUGGUGUGGGUGCCAUAGUGUAGAUAUGUGCAACUCAGAGCUAGGUUGUUACAAAUGGUGAUACAUUAAUACAACUAUAUUCUCCAGUUAUUCUAUUUGGCCCUGACCCACCAUGCUUGUUCUAUUGCCAUCAUAAUAGCUUUAGUGUCAUUCAUCACUGGUUCUGUAGUCUGUGUGAUAAUAACUUAAGCUUGCUAUGGUUAAAGAUUGCAUUUAGAAAUGAACCUGUAGGUGAAGUUUUAUCUGCCUAAGGUUUAAGUAUGCAUAUUCAAAAUAGCCAGUAACUUGACUUCUAAUUGUUAUGUCUGGAGUACUCGCAUGUCAACCAACGGCAGGUAUGAUGUUAUUGCCGCUGUUGAUUCUCAUUUCCCUGUGAUAAAAUAACCUAGAUAAGCCGUGCAUAUCAAAACAACUUAGAUAAGAUAUAUGAUGCUCGGGAAAUCGACUGCCUCUUUUAUUUAGUGCUAAAAUUUGAGUAAUACUUGCCCAACAACGCCAAUGGGAAAGUGAUGAAUCCAAUUUGGAUUUUUUUAACCAUAUUAUUAGGUACACUGAGAUAGUUUUAUGUGAAGCUUUGUCUAACAACUUGAAUAUAUGUGCAGAAGUUAUUCUAUACAGAGGGGUUGUAGAGCACAUUGACAACACACUGAUUUCCAGUGCACAAAGGUUUAAGCUUUGUCUUCCUAAUAGACCGGAAAUGCCUUUGAUUAUUUGUGUUUGUCCCUAUAUGUUUGUCUAUGAUUUUAAUCCAUUGUCUGUCCUUGUCCUGUGAAAAUAUUAUAUAGAUCAUGUCUGUAUGUGUGCUUGUUUUAUCUUGCUAAAGUACUACUGUAAGUACUACGCCAUUUAUUUAUGAGAAUAAAAGGUCUUGGACUAUUUCGUCGCACAACA